CCUACGGGUGGCAGCAGUGGGGAAUCUUCCGCAAUGGGCGAAAGCCUGACGGAGCAACGCCGCGUGAGUGAUGACGGCCUUCGGGUUGUAAAACUCUGUGAUCUGGGACGAAAAGGCAGAGUGUGAAGAACAAACUGCAUUGACGGUACCGGAAAAGCAAGCCACGGCUAACUACGGGCCAGCAGCCGCGGUAAUACGUAGGUGGCAAGCGUUGUCCGGAAUUAUUGGGCGUAAAGCGCGCGCAGGCGGCUUCCCAAGUCCCUCUUAAAAGUGCGGGGCUUAACCCCGUGAUGGGAAGGAAACUGGGAAGCUGGAGUAUCGGAGAGGAAAGUGGAAUUCCUAGUGUAGCGGUGAAAUGCGUAGAGAUUAGGAAGAACACCGGUGGCGAAGGCGACUUUCUGGACGAAAACUGACGCUGAGGCGCGAAAGCGUGGGGAGCAAACAGGAUUAGAUACCCCUGUAGUC
This 465-nucleotide ribosomal RNA is filed under the name uncultured Dialister sp. Its description in RNAcentral is "bacterial SSU rRNA". It matches the Rfam family "Bacterial small subunit ribosomal RNA", at positions 338 to 795 of the family's 1533-position model. The record is from RNAcentral. Lineage: Bacteria; Bacillati; Bacillota; Negativicutes; Veillonellales; Veillonellaceae.